GAUGAAGAACGUAGUGAAAUGCGAUAAGUAGUGUGAAUUGCAGAAGUACCGUGAAUCAUCGAAUCUUUGAACGCAAAUUGCACUCUCUGGUAUUCCGGGGAGUAUGCCUGUUUGAGGGUCGCUUAACAAACCAUCGAUUUCGUUGCUUUUUUUUUAAAGAGUGAUGUUUAUCGGAUUUGAGCCGUCUUUUUUUUUUUUAUAUUUAAAAGUGGCUUAAAAUUGUUUUUUUUGGUACGAUCGAAGCGUAUUUUUAUGAUCAAUUUUUGGUUAAAGAAACGCACACGUACCGUUAUUAUAUAUGAUGUAAUACGUUUGACUAUUGGAUUUAGUUCAUUCGUAUACGAUAUUUUUCAAUAUUUGACCUCAAAUCAGGUAAGAACACCCGCUGAACUUAAGCAUAUCAAUAAGCGGAGGA
This 415-nucleotide unclassified non-coding RNA is filed under the name soil metagenome. Its description in RNAcentral is "partial contains 5.8S ribosomal RNA, internal transcribed spacer 2, and large subunit ribosomal RNA". The stretch from base 1 to 121 matches the Rfam family "5.8S ribosomal RNA", at positions 35 to 154 of the family's 154-position model. The record is from RNAcentral.